Molecule: ribosomal RNA, 251 nt
Filed under: uncultured bacterium
Lineage: Bacteria
Description: partial 16S ribosomal RNA
Rfam family: Bacterial small subunit ribosomal RNA
Source: RNAcentral
GACAGAGGAUGCAAGUGUUAUCCGGAAUCACUGGGCGUAAAGCGUCUGUAGGUGGUUCGAAAGUCCACUGUUAAAAAUUGAGGCUUAACUUCAAAGAUGCCGUGGAAACUUUCAAACUAGAGUAUGGUAGGGGUAGAGGGAAUUUCCAGUGGAGCGGUGAAAUGCGUAGAUAUUGGAAAGACCACCGAUGGCGAAGGCACUCUACUGGGCCACUACUGACACUGAGAGACGAAAGCUAGGGAGCAAAUGGG